This 484-nucleotide long non-coding RNA is filed under the name Coturnix japonica (Japanese quail). RNAcentral describes it as "lncRNA (ENSCJPG00005017942.1)". Lineage: Eukaryota; Metazoa; Chordata; Aves; Galliformes; Phasianidae. The record is from RNAcentral.
CUGCUUUACUAGCUUCAGUAAAGUGCUGCUCAUGCUGCAUCAGAUGGACUUUUGUAAGAGUUCCAGUGUGGAUGCAAAAUUUUGCUGCAAAUCUGUUUUUUGUGAAUGCAGGAACUGUCCAGAUCUUUUCUUGUUACAUGAUUGCUGAAGCAUUUUCCUGGCACAGCAGUAAUGAUUGAUGAACACACUCCAGGACUUGCCUCAAACAAGAAGGGCCAUUGUGAGGGGAGCAUGGGAUGGGCACGACAAGGAGACUCCAGUGGCACUGGGAGAGAGCUUCAGGGCUGCUGGGGAAUUACUGUUGCAAAUAACUGCUGGGCCUGGCACACUGCUGUUGCUAUUAACUGAAGAAUAACAUGUCCUUACAGAGAAUGUGGUGUUUUUGUUUUUUGGGGUGCAGUGGAGAGGAUUCUUCUUCUUAAAAUAAUGCUUCAUUAAUUCAGUUUAUGGAAAGAGAAAAGACUUCGGAUUGAAGUAGAGGUCU